GCCAGGCAUGGUGGCGUGUGCCUGUAAUCCCAGCUACUUGGGAGGCUGAGGCAGGAGAAUCGCUUGAACCCAGGAGGUGGAGGUUGCAGUGAGCCGAAAUCACGCCACUGCACUCCAGCCUGGGCAACAAAGUGAGACUCUGUCUCAA
This 148-nucleotide signal recognition particle RNA is filed under the name Chlorocebus sabaeus (green monkey). RNAcentral describes it as "Metazoan signal recognition particle RNA". It matches the Rfam family "Metazoan signal recognition particle RNA". Rfam says of the family: The signal recognition particle (SRP) is a universally conserved ribonucleoprotein. Lineage: Eukaryota; Metazoa; Chordata; Mammalia; Primates; Cercopithecidae. The record is from Rfam by way of RNAcentral.